UUUCCGUAGGUGAACCUGCGGAAGGAUCAUUAUUGUGAACCUCGGGGCGUUCCGCGAGAGCGGUCCGUCCCAACCACACACCACUGUGAACAAACCCCGUCCUCGGCCGUCGCCGUGGGCAAAUUUACAACUGUCGUCCUAUGUCCAGAAAGUAAAACAAAAGAGUACAACUCUCAACGAUGGAUCUCUUGGCUCUCGCAUCGAUGAAGAACGCAGC
RNAcentral lists this unclassified non-coding RNA (217 nucleotides) under uncultured fungus. RNAcentral describes it as "sequence contains ITS1, 5.8S rRNA gene". The stretch from base 169 to 217 matches the Rfam family "5.8S ribosomal RNA", at positions 1 to 49 of the family's 154-position model. Lineage: Eukaryota; Fungi. The record is from RNAcentral.